Molecule: ribosomal RNA, 704 nt
Filed under: Salmonella enterica
Lineage: Bacteria; Pseudomonadati; Pseudomonadota; Gammaproteobacteria; Enterobacterales; Enterobacteriaceae
Description: bacterial SSU rRNA
Rfam family: Bacterial small subunit ribosomal RNA
Source: RNAcentral
AAAUUGAAGAGUUUGAUCAUGGCUCAGAUUGAACGCUGGCGGCAGGCCUAACACAUGCAAGUCGAACGGUAGCACAGAGAGCUUGCUCUCGGGUGACGAGUGGCGGACGGGUGAGUAAUGUCUGGGAAACUGCCUGAUGGAGGGGGAUAACUACUGGAAACGGUGGCUAAUACCGCAUAACGUCGAAAGACCAAAGAGGGGGACCUUCGGGCCUCUUGCCAUCAGAUGUGCCCAGAUGGGAUUAGCUUGUUGGUGAGGUAACGGCUCACCAAGGCGACGAUCCCUAGCUGGUCUGAGAGGAUGACCAGCCACACUGGAACUGAGACACGGUCCAGACUCCUACGGGAGGCAGCAGUGGGGAAUAUUGCACAAUGGGCGCAAGCCUGAUGCAGCCAUGCCGCGUGUAUGAAGAAGGCCUUCGGGUUGUAAAGUACUUUCAGCGGGGAGGAAGGUGUUGUGGUUAAUAACCACAGCAAUUGACGUUACCCGCAGAAGAAGCACCGGCUAACUCCGUGCCAGCAGCCGCGGUAAUACGGAGGGUGCAAGCGUUAAUCGGAAUUACUGGGCGUAAAGCGCACGCAGGCGGUCUGUCAAGUCGGAUGUGAAAUCCCCGGGCUCAACCUGGGAACUGCAUUCGAAACUGGCAGGCUUGAGUCUUGUAGAGGGGGGUAGAAUUCCAGGUGUAGCGGUGAAAUGCGUAGAGA